This 381-nucleotide ribosomal RNA is filed under the name uncultured eukaryote. Its description in RNAcentral is "partial 18S ribosomal RNA". It matches the Rfam family "Eukaryotic small subunit ribosomal RNA", at positions 592 to 976 of the family's 1831-position model. The record is from RNAcentral.
CAAUAGCGUAUAUUAAAGUUGUUGCGGUAAAAAAGCUCGUAGUUGGAUUUCUACCGAAGAUAGCCGGUCGGGUCUUCGACCUUGUAUCUGGUUUUGUCUUUGGUAUCCUCAUAGGGAACGUUUCUGCGCGUUAUUGCGUGGUGCGGUAUCUAUGACUUUUACUUUGAGGAAAUUAGAGUGUUCACGGCAGGCAAACGCCUUGAAUAUAUUAGCAUGGAAUAAUAACAUAGGAUCUUCGUCCUAUUUUGUUGGUUUCUAGGGCUAAGAUAAUGAUUAAUAGGGAUAAUUGGGGGCAUCUGUAUCAACGCGUCAGAGGUGGAAUUCUUGGAUUGCGUUGCGACAAACUACUGCGAAAGCAUUUGCCAAGGAUGUUUUCAUUGA